AAUAUUGGACAAUGGGCGAAAGCCUGAUCCAGCAAUGCCGCGUGAGUGAUGAAGGCCUUAGGGUUGUAAAGCUCUUUUAGCUGUGAAGAUAAUGACGGUAGCAGCAGAAGCAGUCCCUGCUAACUCCGUGCCAGCAGCCGCGGUAAUACGGAGGGGACUAGUGUUGUUCGGAAUUACUGGGUGUAAAGCGAACGUAGGCGGAUCGGAAAGUUGGGGGUGAAAUCCCGGGGCUCAAACCCGGAACUGCCUUUAAUACUGCCGGUCUAGAGUUCGAGAGAGGUGAGUGGAAUUCCGAGUGUAGAGGUGAAAUUCGUAGAUAUUCGGAGGAACACCAGUGGCGAAGGCGGCUCACUGGCUCGAUACUGACGCUGAGGUGCGAAAGCGUGGGGAGCAAACA
This 397-nucleotide ribosomal RNA is filed under the name uncultured bacterium. RNAcentral's name for it is "partial 16S ribosomal RNA". It matches the Rfam family "Bacterial small subunit ribosomal RNA", at positions 360 to 774 of the family's 1533-position model. The record is from RNAcentral.